GUGGGGAAUUUUGGACAAUGGGCGCAAGCCUGAUCCAGCAAUGCCGCGUGCAGGAAGAAGGCCUUCGGGUUGUAAACUGCUUUUGUACGGAACGAAACGGUCCGGGUUAAUACCCUGGGCUAAUGACGGUACCGUAAGAAUAAGCACCGGCUAACUACGUGCCAGCAGCCGCGGUAAUACGUAGGGUGCAAGCGUUAAUCGGAAUUACUGGGCGUAAAGCGUGCGCAGACGGUUUUGUAAGACAGGCGUGAAAUCCCCGGGCUCAACCUGGGAAUUGCGAUUGUGACUGCAAGGCUGGAGUGCGGCAGAGGGGGAUGGAAUUCCGCGUGUAGCAGUGAAAUGCGUAGAUAUGCGGAGGAACACCGAUGGCGAAGGCAAUCCCCUGGGCCUGCACUGACGCUCAUGCACGAAAGCGUGGGGAGCAAACAGGAUUAGAAACCCCGGUAGUCC
RNAcentral lists this ribosomal RNA (450 nucleotides) under uncultured bacterium. Its description in RNAcentral is "partial 16S ribosomal RNA". It matches the Rfam family "Bacterial small subunit ribosomal RNA", at positions 354 to 796 of the family's 1533-position model. The record is from RNAcentral.